CCUACGGGCGGCAGCAGUGGGGAAUAUUGCGCAAUGGGCGAAAGCCUGACGCAGCGACGCCGCGUGAGGGAUGAAGGUCUUCGGAUCGUAAACCUCUGUCAGCAGGGAAGAACGGUCACUGUGCUAAUCAGCAGUGAAUUGACGGUACCUGCAAAGGAAGCACCGGCUAACUCCGUGCCAGCAGCCGCGGUAAUACGGAGGGUGCGAGCGUUAAUCGGAAUUACUGGGCGUAAAGCGCUCGUAGGCGGUAUGUCAAGUCAAGGGUGAAAUCCCCGGGCUCAACGUGGGAACUGCAUUUGAAACUGGCAGACUGGAGUGUGUGAGAGGAGAGUGGAAGUCCAGGUGUAGGAGUGAAAUGCGUAGAUAUGUGGAGGAACAUCAGUGGCGAAGGCGACUAUCUGGCACAUAACUGACGCUGAGGAGCGAAAGCGUGGGGAGCAAACAGGAUUAGAUACCCGUGUAGUC
Molecule: ribosomal RNA, 465 nt
Filed under: uncultured bacterium
Lineage: Bacteria
Description: partial 16S ribosomal RNA
Rfam family: Bacterial small subunit ribosomal RNA
Source: RNAcentral